This 429-nucleotide ribosomal RNA is filed under the name Triticum aestivum (bread wheat). RNAcentral describes it as "partial small subunit ribosomal RNA". The record is from RNAcentral. Lineage: Eukaryota; Viridiplantae; Streptophyta; Magnoliopsida; Poales; Poaceae.
AUGCUUCCUGCUGUUGACUUCGAUCUGAAGUUCACCUAUGUGCUGGCUGGUUGGGAAGGGUCAACACAUGAUGCUAACAUACUCGGUGACAACAUGAGUCGUCCUUAUGGCAUCAACAUCCCUGAUGGCAAGUUCUACCUAGGAGAUGCCGGCUAUGCAUGUCGGCCGGGUGUUCUUCCACCCUUCAGGAAGACCAGGUAUCACCUGAACGAGUUCUCUGGUAGGAACUACCCUAGGACUCCACAUGAGCUAUUCAAUCUCAGAAACACCAGCCUUAGAGUAACAAUUGAGAGGACAUUUGGAAAUCUGAAGAACAUGUUCAAGAUCCUAGAUGAGAAGCCACCCACCCUCACCCUACCCAAGUUAAGCUUGUUUUUGCAUGUUGCAUUCUGCAUAACUGGAUCCUGCAAUGGGGUUGUGAUGAACUAG